Molecule: ribosomal RNA, 393 nt
Filed under: uncultured bacterium
Lineage: Bacteria
Description: partial 16S ribosomal RNA
Rfam family: Bacterial small subunit ribosomal RNA
Source: RNAcentral
AUACGUAGGGAGCGAGCGUUGUCCGGAAUUACUGGGCGUAAAGGGCGCGUAGGCGGCGCUUCAAGUCGUCUGUCAAAUGGGAGGGCUUAACCCUUUUUCGCAGACGAAACUGGAGAGCUUGAGAAGCAGAGAGGCAAACAGAAUUCCUGGUGUAGCGGUGAAAUGCGUAGAUAUCAGGAAGAAUACCAGUGGCGAAGGCGGUUUGCUGGCUGCAUACUGACGCUGAAGCGCGAAAGCCAGGGGAGCGAACGGGAUUAGAUACCCCGGUAGUCCUGGCAGUAAACGAUGUAUGCUGGGUGUGAGACUAGCGAUAGUUUCGUGCCGAAGUUAACGCGAUAAGCAUACCGCCUGGGGAGUACGGUCGCAAGAUUGAAACUCAAAUGAAUUGACGGG